GUUUACAGCCAUACCACCCUGAACAUGCUCAAUCUCAUCUGAUCUCAGAAGCUAAGCAGGGUCGGGCCUGGUUAGUACAUAGAUGGGAGACAAUGUGAGACCACAGCAAGUUUGAUCA
Ribosomal RNA from Erinaceus europaeus (western European hedgehog), 118 nucleotides. NCBI's taxonomy places the organism in Eukaryota, Metazoa, Chordata, Mammalia, Eulipotyphla, Erinaceidae. The record is from Ensembl.